CCUACGGGUGGCAGCAGUGAGGAAUAUUGGUCAAUGGCCGGAAGGCUGAACCAGCCAUGCCGCGUGAAUGUCAGUGCCCUAUGGGCGUUAAACUUCUUUUAUGCGGGAGCAAUAAUGGUCUCGUGUGGCCAGACGAGAGUGCCGUACGAAUAAGCAUCGGCUAAAUCCGUGCCAGCAGCCGCGGUAAUACGGGGGAUGCAAACGUUAUCCGGAAUUUUUGGGUUGAAAGGGGGCGUAGGCUGUGAGGUAAGUCAGCGUGGAAAUGCCGCCGCCUAACGGGUUGAAGUGCCAUGGAUACUGCACUGCUGGAAUGCAGAUGCGGUGGGAGGAAUGUGUGGUGUAGCGGUGAAAUGCAUAGAUAUUACACAGAACACCGAUUGCGAAGGCAUCUCACGAAUCCGCGAUUGACGCUGAUGCACGAAAGCGUGGGUAUCAAACAGGAUUAGAUACCCGGGUAGUC
RNAcentral lists this ribosomal RNA (460 nucleotides) under uncultured bacterium. RNAcentral's name for it is "partial 16S ribosomal RNA". It matches the Rfam family "Bacterial small subunit ribosomal RNA", at positions 338 to 795 of the family's 1533-position model. The record is from RNAcentral.